UUCACAGCUUCUCCGGGCAACCUGUGCCAAAAAGCAAAGAAAGCAAGUCCUGAAGUGUCCUGUUUUCAGCUUUCAUUUGGUCUGUAUCCUUCAGGCACACUAGAUGAUUACACAGAAGUAUAAUUUCAGUGCAAAGCUUGCAAUACUGAGUUUUUAGCCAUUGAUACAAAUACACGCCUUUCUGUAUUUACCAUGUCAGUAGUUCUAUUUGUCAUCCUAUUUCAGCUUUGUUACGUAAGAUUUUAUUUCCUAAAUAAAAUAACAUGCCAUGGACAUACACGGUGAGUAUGUGCUACAAAACCCUUUUUUAACUCCAUACGUAUGGUAUUUCCCAUGAAGAGAUUAUGAUUAUCACUAUACCAAAACUUUUAAGAUAUCAUAUGAAAACAGGAUGAGUAACCGGAGUAAGUAGCUAGUUGCUGCUUUCUACAGGUCCUUAGGAAUUUUGUCAGAGUUUGAAGACAAACUUGCCGGUAAGGGUGGAAGGGGAAGAGGAACUUUGUGAUUCACGUUCUGUGACUGUAGCACUGUGGUGAGCUGCCUGUUUUGUUGACAAUCUAAAACAGAAGUUUGAAGAAGAUAAACUGGUGACUCGGAGUUCCCAAAAUGAGAGGCUGGCUACCAAGGGAAAAAUCAGAGUAAAAUAUCGCUGCUUCUGGAAAACCCCUUCAUUUUCCUUUAGUAAAUUUAGAUUCAUGUUAUCAGAUAACUUAAAUGACAUCAUAACUGGCUUAAAUUUUCAUCAUUCAAGUGAAGUGGCAUAAAUUGCUGCUAAAAUACAAAGUAAUUCCAAAAUAAAUCUUUAAAUCAUUCCUUUGAAAUUCUGCUGAAACUGUUAAUGGUUGUAAAACUCAAAUACAUUGUGGAUCAAUUGAAGUUUUGUCUGUGGUGUCCUGAUUUUUAGAUUCACAGUGCAAUUGUCUUUGAAUCUAUGUUGUAGUGGCUUACAGGAAAGCUGUGUAACAAUACCUGUUGACUUUCUGUUUCCAACCAUAAAUCAGUACAUGGCCUUGUGCCUGAAAGACUUUCAUUAUGCUCAGUCACAAUACAUGCAGUUGAUUUUCCUUUUAAUCACUCAGUUUUAACCACUCUUGAGAAAUACCUUUAUAAUUGUUUUUCUCAAUCAAUACAAGACCUAACUUGUUUCAGCAGUUUAUCAUAUGUAAAAAAUUGUAAACUUUUUUGUUUCCCUUGCUACUGAUUUUACUUUAAUCCCUUUUGUAUCUCUAAAUGUAAUCAAGAAUCCAUUUUUGUAAUAAAUGCCAAGUGACUGCCAGGAAAAAUCUUUAGCAGAUUUAAGGGUAAUCAGUAACUGCAUGGUGGACUCCAGGUAGCUUCUACUCUUUGAGUAUGCUCAAGAUUGAGAAAAUAAGCAUUUUCAUGUAAAACUCCACAUAUCUGCUUAUGCAACCAUAGCAGCACCUCAGACUUGGCUUGUGCAGGACGUACAACUCCCAUCAGUGACGAAUGAGUGUGCAAUGGACUUACCCAGCACGUGGUCUUAGAGAAGAAAAGCGCAAUGGGACAGGACUUCGCGAGCCUAAUUAAGUCUACACUGUUUCUGACAGUGCUGCUGCCACAUUUGAAUGAGGAGGUGAUGUAAUCCAUAAUUCACCAUCUGUCUCAUUGUGUCAGGUGAUAAAUGACCUGGUGCAGCAAGCUGUGCCUUUCCCAUUGCUUGUUAUCUAAUGGACACAAUAAUAAAAAAGGACUCCAUGAUACUGAAAUAGAAGUUUCAAAAUCCUUCACUAUGGCUAUAGACAGGAUGCUUCUUCACAUUGGCUUCUCAGGGUAGAUAAGGUUUUUGAUACAACUGAAGCUUUUGUUAAAUACUGUUUCUAAAUUAUAGAGUAUUUAGGCCGUGGAGCAAAGAAGCAGCUGCCUCUUGGUUUCUUCUUUGAGUUUUUAAUUCCCAUUGAGCAUUUGCAUAUUGAAGAAGUCCUUGGUCUGCCUUGCUUCUUCAUAUGGGAAUUUCCACAUAGAUAGUGAGAUAAGUGAAGGUCCAGAACAAAAAGGGUAUUUUUAGUAUAAUUUUCCUUAUACCUUGAUUAGUGUUUUAAUAAACAUAAUUCUCUGUCAUGAAUUUAAGAAGUAUUGACCUUCCUUUUUUAUGUUGUUGUUGUUUAUGUUUUUUAAUGACUUUUUUUUGGGUGGUAUUUACAGGUACUUUGCAAAUAGGAUAAUGGCAGGAUUUAAGUGGCAGGGUUUUUGCAAGUAGGAUUUUAUGGCAGGAUUUAAAAUGGUAGGGCCAGCAAAAUGGAAUUGCUAUCUGGCCCACAAAGUCUGGGGAGGAUUGUAUAGCAAGCUGCUCUAUUUUAAGCAAGGUAAUAAUAAUAAUAAAAAAAGGUAAAUGGUAAAUGAUUAAAAUCAUACAGCAGAAAUAGCUAUGUCUUGUGAAGAUAAUUGAACAGUUACUUGGGUCACUAAUGCAAUUUUCUGUGAACAUGUAACAUUUAAUAUCCAUUAUCAUGAUUUAUUGCAUAUGACUCACCUGAGGACAGGAAAAUGCUAAUCUUAAGUACACUAAUCUGUAUCACUUAGAUAAAACUAUUUAGAUGAGCAUAUGAAGUAACAGAGAAGUGUGGCAGUAGUCAGAACACAGACUUCUGUAUUUCGCCGUUAUAUCUGUCACUAAACUUUACUGUAUUUUGACUAUUGGACUUAAGUAUGACAGACUUCAUUACCUAUUUAGUAUCCUGAAACAUUUGAGGAAUGUAUGCUAUUUUUCUCUUAACUACUCACAGAUCCUGAAUUUUAUAUGUAUAUUUAGAGUUGAAUAAAGGAUUAUGCUUUAGAAAAUGUGUUUUCAUUCAGUAAUAGCAGCAUCUUUGUCCUUGCUUUUUGUGGUGUUUACAAGCUUUUAAAUGAAAAGAGAAUGUAUAUUUGUUUUAUAAGAGGUUUGUUUAAGGAAUGUUUUCUCUUCAAAAUAUUUCUGUAUGUUUUGUACUACCCACAUACAAGGAAUAAAGGAGUUUGGUAUUGA
Molecule: long non-coding RNA, 2983 nt
Organism: Oxyura jamaicensis (ruddy duck)
Lineage: Eukaryota; Metazoa; Chordata; Aves; Anseriformes; Anatidae
Exons: 2
Source: RefSeq, a predicted model, not a curated record